AAUUAUGUUUGGUAUUUACAUUUACAAUAAAACAUAAUUCAUUUUGAUAUAUUUAAUGUUUGUUUGUUUGGUUGUUGUUAAACUUUUAAUGUUACAGUAAUGUAUAUUUAGGAAAAUAUUUGUAUUGUGAAAAAUGUCACUUAUAUAUAUAUAUAUAUAUUUAUAUAUAUAUAUAUAUAUAUAAAAGCAAAAUCACAAAAUAAAUGUUACUAGUAUGUUAUGGCCAUAUAUCAGCAGCACAGAUGUGAUUCCUGAAUAAUUCCAUGUUUCUAAUCUAAUCUUUUGAAUUAAUAAUUCAAUUACUUGUCAUUUGAAUGAAUCAGUGUUGGUAUGUAUAUUAUAUGAGCAGUAAACAAAAAGAGCAUGACGAAUCACAGUUUGGCAGCUGUAUUUUUUAUGUGUGCUAACAUAAAGAGGAAGGAAAAGGAAUUUGAGGUAAGCAGCUUUCAUUUUUAGGGUCAUGUUGAUCAACAUGCUAUUUCAUGAUGCAUUUUUAUUGGCUGGUCAGUAGACGGAAGUCGUAGCAGCAAACACACUGUGCGAUGAUAAUGCUGAAUUUCUGACACUGUCUGAAAAUUAUCUUGGUCAUAAGACUCUGUCAACAGCUGUCUUUGAACCUCUCUCACUGAACAACAUAGGACCACCGAUUAGGAGCCAACAUUGUUUCACAAUGGUCAGGACAGCCGAAAAUCAUGCAGUGUGUCCCAGGCUUAAGACUUUUGUCAAGAUGGGCAUAAUUUGUGUCUGCUGGGCUGUUCAUUAUUCAGAGAGCACAUGACAUCACUUUGUAAAGUCAUAAUGUGAAAGAAAAUGGUGAAUAACGAGAUACGUUAUCCAUAUAAUACAAACAAGUCUCUAUCAACAUCUUUGACUAUCUCUCUCUCUCUCUCUCUCUCUCUCUCACACACACAAAGUUUUUUUUUCUUUUUCUUUUCUUUAGAUGGAAUUCUCACAUGAUGAUUGGACAAGCUUCACAUGAGAACAUUUUACAAUGUAAAAAUACAAUUCGAGUGCAUAAUCAAAAGGCUCGACAGUCGAAGAAAUGCUUUGUGUCCCGUUGCCAGUUUCCUAAAGUGAAACAAAGCACCCGAGAAGGGAGACGAUGAAAUUCUGAUUUUAAUAUUACAGUCUGAUGUGAAUCAACGAUGCAGCACUCGAGAAUAAGAAUUCUAAUAAUGGUAUUAUAAUGAAUCUUUUCUUUGAACCCUGGUUACAGCAACGUUUCUGAUGUAAAUAUGGCAUUAAAUGUUUCUUUCAUACCAGGGCUUCCCUAUAACAUUGGCGGCCAAUGGUUUCCUCUAAAAUAUUAGUUUAUAUUAUAACCAGGCAAAAUUUACUGAUGAAUAACCAAAAAUGAACUAAA
Cyprinus carpio carpio is the source of this 1363-nucleotide long non-coding RNA. Lineage: Eukaryota; Metazoa; Chordata; Actinopteri; Cypriniformes; Cyprinidae. The record is from Ensembl.